RNAcentral lists this ribosomal RNA (1439 nucleotides) under Vibrio aestuarianus. RNAcentral describes it as "partial 23S ribosomal RNA". It matches the Rfam family "Bacterial large subunit ribosomal RNA", at positions 1533 to 2925 of the family's 2925-position model. Lineage: Bacteria; Pseudomonadati; Pseudomonadota; Gammaproteobacteria; Vibrionales; Vibrionaceae. The record is from RNAcentral.
UAGGUAAAUCCGGUUUCUUGUUAGGCUGAGACACGACGUCGAGCUACUACGGUAGUGAAGUCAUUGAUGCCAUGCUUCCAGGAAAAGCCUCUAAGCUUCAGAUUAUAAGCAAUCGUACCCCAAACCGACACAGGUGGUCGGGUAGAGAAUACCAAGGCGCUUGAGAGAACUCGGGUGAAGGAACUAGGCAAAAUGGUACCGUAACUUCGGGAGAAGGUACGCUCUUGGCGGUGAAGUCCCUAGCGGAUGGAGCUACUGAGAGUCGCAGAUACCAGGUGGCUGCAACUGUUUAUUAAAAACACAGCACUGUGCAAAAUCGUAAGAUGACGUAUACGGUGUGACGCCUGCCCGGUGCCGGAAGGUUAAUUGAUGGGGUUAGACUUCGGUCGAAGCUCUUGAUCGAAGCCCCGGUAAACGGCGGCCGUAACUAUAACGGUCCUAAGGUAGCGAAAUUCCUUGUCGGGUAAGUUCCGACCUGCACGAAUGGCGUAAUGAUGGCCACGCUGUCUCCACCCGAGACUCAGUGAAAUUGAAAUCGCUGUGAAGAUGCAGUGUACCCGCGGCUAGACGGAAAGACCCCGUGAACCUUUACUACAGCUUGGCACUGAACAUUGAACCUACAUGUGUAGGAUAGGUGGGAGACUUAGAAGCGCAGUCGCUAGAUUGCGUGGAGUCGUCCUUGAAAUACCACCCUUGUAGUUUUGAUGUUCUAACGUUGGCCCCUAAUCGGGGUUGCGGACAGUGCCUGGUGGGUAGUUUGACUGGGGCGGUCUCCUCCCAAAGAGUAACGGAGGAGCACGAAGGUGGGCUAAACACGGUUGGACAUCGUGUGGUUAGUGCAAUGGCAUAAGCCCGCUUAACUGCGAGAAUGACAAUUCGAGCAGGUACGAAAGUAGGUCAUAGUGAUCCGGUGGUUCUGAAUGGAAGGGCCAUCGCUCAACGGAUAAAAGGUACUCCGGGGAUAACAGGCUGAUACCGCCCAAGAGUUCAUAUCGACGGCGGUGUUUGGCACCUCGAUGUCGGCUCAUCACAUCCUGGGGCUGAAGUCGGUCCCAAGGGUAUGGCUGUUCGCCAUUUAAAGUGGUACGCGAGCUGGGUUUAGAACGUCGUGAGACAGUUCGGUCCCUAUCUGCCGUGGGCGUUGGAAGAUUGAAGGGGGCUGCUCCUAGUACGAGAGGACCGGAGUGGACGAACCUCUGGUGUUCGGGUUGUUACGCCAGUAGCAUUGCCCGGUAGCUAAGUUCGGAAUCGAUAACCGCUGAAAGCAUCUAAGCGGGAAGCGAGCCCUGAGAUGAGUCUUCCCUGGCACUUUAAGUGUCCUAAAGGGUUGUUCGAGACUAGAACGUUGAUAGGUUGGGUGUGUAAGCGCUGCGAGGCGUUGAGCUAACCAAUACUAAUUGCCCGUGAGGCUUAACCAUACAACACCGAAGGGGUUUUGU